CCGAAAGCUAUUUAGGUAGCGCCUCGUGAAUUCAUCUCCGGGGGUAGAGCACUGUUUCGGCUAGGGGGCCAUCCCGGCUUACCAACCCGAUGCAAACUGCGAAUACCGGAGAAUGUUAUCACGGGAGACACACGGCGGGUGCUAACGUCCGUCGUGAAGAGGGAAACAACCCAGACCGCCAGCUAAGGUCCCAAAGUCAUGGUUAAGUGGGAAACGAUGUGGGAAGGCCCAGACAGCCAGGAUGUUGGCUUAGAAGCAGCCAUCAUUUAAAGAAAGCGUAAUAGCUCACUGGUCGAGUCGGCCUGCGCGGAAGAUGUAACGGGGCUAAACCAUGCACCGAAGCUGCGGCAGCGAACGUAUCACCCAAGACAACUUUACGGAGUUGACGAUUGACGGAGCGAAGCGACGUCAAAGCGUUCAUUAAAGUCGAGUUGGCUUAGGGAUACGUUCGUUGGGUAGGGGAGCGUUCUGUAAGCCUGUGAAGGUGUGUCGUGAGGCAUGCUGGAGGUAUCAGAAGUGCGAAUGCUGACAUAAGUAACGAUAAAGCGGGUGAAAAGCCCGCUCGCCGGAAGACCAAGGGUUCCUGUCCAACGUUAAUCGGGGCAGGGUGAGUCGACCCCUAAGGCGAGGCCGAAAGGCGUAGUCGAUGGGAAACGGGUUAAUAUUCCCGUACUUGGUGUUACUGCGAAGGGGGGACGGAGAAGGCUAUGUUGGCCGGGCGACGGUUGUCCCGGUUUAAGCGUGUAGGUGUGUGUUCCAGGUAAAUCCGGUUCACUUUAACACUGAGGCGUGACGACGAGGCACUACGGUGCUGAAGCAACAAAUGCCCUGCUUCCAGGAAAA
This 843-nucleotide ribosomal RNA is filed under the name Salmonella enterica subsp. enterica serovar Typhimurium. Its description in RNAcentral is "partial 23S ribosomal RNA". It matches the Rfam family "Bacterial large subunit ribosomal RNA", at positions 859 to 1616 of the family's 2925-position model. The record is from RNAcentral. Lineage: Bacteria; Pseudomonadati; Pseudomonadota; Gammaproteobacteria; Enterobacterales; Enterobacteriaceae.